This 169-nucleotide ribosomal RNA is filed under the name Rhinacanthus pulcher. RNAcentral describes it as "5.8S ribosomal RNA". The stretch from base 1 to 79 matches the Rfam family "5.8S ribosomal RNA", at positions 78 to 154 of the family's 154-position model. Lineage: Eukaryota; Viridiplantae; Streptophyta; Magnoliopsida; Lamiales; Acanthaceae. The record is from RNAcentral.
AAUCCCGUGAACCAUCGAGUCUUUGAACGCAAGUUGCGCCCGAAGCCUUCGGGCCGAGGGCACGCCUGCCUGGGCGUCACGCAUCGCGUCGCCCCCUCCCCGCCCGCUCCNAGGAGCGGGGGGGGGGCGGAAAAUGGCCUCCCGUGGGCUCCCGUCCCGCGGCCGGGCC